RNAcentral lists this ribosomal RNA (505 nucleotides) under uncultured bacterium. RNAcentral describes it as "partial 16S ribosomal RNA". It matches the Rfam family "Bacterial small subunit ribosomal RNA", at positions 28 to 507 of the family's 1533-position model. The record is from RNAcentral.
GACGAACGCUGGCGGCGUGCCUAAUACAUGCCAGUAGAACGCACAGUUUAUACCGUAGCUUGCUACACCAUAGACUGUGAGUUGCGAACGGGUGAGUAACGCGUAGGUAACCUGCCUGGUAGCGGGGGAUAACUAUUGGAAACGAUAGCUAAUACCGCAUAAUAUUGAUUAUUGCAUGAUAAUUGAUUGAAAGAUGCUAUUGCAUCACUACCAGAUGGACCUGCGUUGUAUUAGCUAGUAGGUGAGGUAACGGCUCACCUAGGCGACGAUACAUAGCCGACCUGAGAGGGUGAUCGGCCACACUGGGACUGAGACACGGCCCAGACUCCUACGGGAGGCAGCAGGAGGGAAUCUUCGGCAAUGGACGAAAGGCUGACCGAGCAACGCCGCGGGAGUGAAGAAGGGUUUCGGAUCGUAAAGCUCUGUUGUAAGAGAAGAACGGGUGUGAGAGUGGAAAGUUCACACUGUGACGGUAUCUUACCAGAAAGGGACGGCUAACUACGUG